UACGAAGGGGGCUAGCGUUGCUCGGAAUCACUGGGCGUAAAGCGCACGUAGGCGGAUUGUUAAGUCAGGGGUGAAAUCCUGGAGCUCAACUCCAGAACUGCCUUUGAUACUGGCGAUCUCGAGUCCGGGAGAGGUGAGUGGAACUGCGAGUGUAGAGGUGAAAUUCGUAGAUAUUCGCAAGAACACCCGUGGCGAAGGCGGCUCUCUGGGACGGUACUGACGCUGAGACGCGAAAGCGUGGGGAGCGAACAGG
RNAcentral lists this ribosomal RNA (253 nucleotides) under uncultured bacterium. RNAcentral describes it as "partial 16S ribosomal RNA". It matches the Rfam family "Bacterial small subunit ribosomal RNA", at positions 524 to 776 of the family's 1533-position model. The record is from RNAcentral.